Molecule: ribosomal RNA, 563 nt
Filed under: uncultured bacterium
Lineage: Bacteria
Description: partial 16S ribosomal RNA
Rfam family: Bacterial small subunit ribosomal RNA
Source: RNAcentral
UGGGGAAUAUUGGACAAUGGGCGCAAGCCUGAUCCAGCCAUGCCGCGUGAGUGAUGAAGGCCUUAGGGUUGUAAAGCUCUUUCGCCGGUGAAGAUAAUGACGGUAACCGGAGAAGAAGCCCCGGCUAACUUCGUGCCAGCAGCCGCGGUAAUACGAAGGGGGCUAGCGUUGCUCGGAAUCACUGGGCGUAAAGCGCACGUAGGCGGAUCGUUAAGUCAGGGGUGAAAUCCUGGAGCUCAACUCCAGAACUGCCCUUGAUACUGGCGAUCUCGAGUCCGAGAGAGGUUGGUGGAACUCCGAGUGUAGAGGUGAAAUUCGUAGAUAUUCGGAAGAACACCAGUGGCGAAGGCGGCCAACUGGCUCGAUACUGACGCUGAGGUGCGAAAGCGUGGGGAGCAAAACAGGAUUAGAUACCCUGGUAGUCCACGCCGUAAAACGAUGGAUGCUAGCCGUUGGGGGGUUUACCUCUCAGUGGCGCAGCUAACGCCUUAAGCAUCCCGCCUGGGGAGUACGGUCGCAAGAUUAAAAACUCAAAGGAAUUGACGGGGUCAUAGCUGUUUCCU